Molecule: ribosomal RNA, 1526 nt
Filed under: Escherichia coli
Lineage: Bacteria; Pseudomonadati; Pseudomonadota; Gammaproteobacteria; Enterobacterales; Enterobacteriaceae
Description: partial 23S ribosomal RNA
Rfam family: Bacterial large subunit ribosomal RNA
Source: RNAcentral
GAAUGCUGACAUAAGUAACGAUAAAGCGGGUGAAAAGCCCGCUCGCCGGAAGACCAAGGGUUCCUGUCCAACGUUAAUCGGGGCAGGGUGAGUCGACCCCUAAGGCGAGGCCGAAAGGCGUAGUCGAUGGGAAACAGGUUAAUAUUCCUGUACUUGGUGUUACUGCGAAGGGGGGACGGAGAAGGCUAUGUUGGCCGGGCGACGGUUGUCCCGGUUUAAGCGUGUAGGCUGAUUUUCCAGGCAAAUCCGGAAAAUCAAGGCUGAGGCGUGAUGACGAGGCACUACGGUGCUGAAGCAACAAAUGCCCUGCUUCCAGGAAAAGCCUCUAAGCAUCAGGUAACAUCAAAUCGUACCCCAAACCGACACAGGUGGUCAGGUAGAGAAUACCAAGGCGCUUGAGAGAACUCGGGUGAAGGAACUAGGCAAAAUGGUGCCGUAACUUCGGGAGAAGGCACGCUGAUAUGUAGGUGAAGCGACUUGCUCGUGGAGCUGAAAUCAGUCGAAGAUACCAGCUGGCUGCAACUGUUUAUUAAAAACACAGCACUGUGCAAACACGAAAGUGGACGUAUACGGUGUGACGCCUGCCCGGUGCCGGAAGGUUAAUUGAUGGGGUUAGCGGUAACGCGAAGCUCUUGAUCGAAGCCCCGGUAAACGGCGGCCGUAACUAUAACGGUCCUAAGGUAGCGAAAUUCCUUGUCGGGUAAGUUCCGACCUGCACGAAUGGCGUAAUGAUGGCCAGGCUGUCUCCACCCGAGACUCAGUGAAAUUGAACUCGCUGUGAAGAUGCAGUGUACCCGCGGCAAGACGGAAAGACCCCGUGAACCUUUACUAUAGCUUGACACUGAACAUUGAGCCUUGAUGUGUAGGAUAGGUGGGAGGCUUUGAAGUGUGGACGCCAGUCUGCAUGGAGCCGACCUUGAAAUACCACCCUUUAAUGUUUGAUGUUCUAACGUUGGCCCGUUAUCCGGGUUGCGGACAGUGUCUGGUGGGUAGUUUGACUGGGGCGGUCUCCUCCUAAAGAGUAACGGAGGAGCACGAAGGUUGGCUAAUCCUGGUCGGACAUCAGGAGGUUAGUGCAAUGGCAUAAGCCAGCUUGACUGCGAGCGUGACGGCGCGAGCAGGUGCGAAAGCAGGUCAUAGUGAUCCGGUGGUUCUGAAUGGAAGGGCCAUCGCUCAACGGAUAAAAGGUACUCCGGGGAUAACAGGCUGAUACCGCCCAAGAGUUCAUAUCGACGGCGGUGUUUGGCACCUCGAUGUCGGCUCAUCACAUCCUGGGGCUGAAGUAGGUCCCAAGGGUAUGGCUGUUCGCCAUUUAAAGUGGUACGCGAGCUGGGUUUAGAACGUCGUGAGACAGUUCGGUCCCUAUCUGCCGUGGGCGCUGGAGAACUGAGGGGGGCUGCUCCUAGUACGAGAGGACCGGAGUGGACGCAUCACUGGUGUUCGGGUUGUCAUGCCAAUGGCACUGCCCGGUAGCUAAAUGCGGAAGAGAUAAGUGCUGAAAGCAUCUAAGCACGAAACUUGCCCCG